This 431-nucleotide ribosomal RNA is filed under the name uncultured bacterium. Its description in RNAcentral is "partial 16S ribosomal RNA". It matches the Rfam family "Bacterial small subunit ribosomal RNA", at positions 29 to 507 of the family's 1533-position model. The record is from RNAcentral.
AACGAACGCUGGCAGCAGGCUUAACACAUGCAAGUCGAACGCCCCGCAAGGGGCGUGGCGCACGGGUGAGUAACGCGUGGCUAUCUGCCUUUUGGUUCGGAAUAACCCCGGGAAACUGGGGCUAAUACCGGAUGGUUCCUACGGGAUAAAGAUUUAUCGCCAAAAGAUGAGUCCGCGUACGAUUAGCUAGUUGGUGAGGUAAUGGCUCACCAAGGCGACGAUCGUUAGCUGGUCUGAGAGGACGAUCAGCCACACUGGGACUGAGACACGGCCCAGACUCCUACGGGAGGCAGCAGUGGGGAAUAUUGGACAAUGGGGGCAACCCUGAUCCAGCCAUGCCGCGUGAGUGAUGAAGGCCUUCGGGUUGUAAAGCUCUUUUGGCGGGGACGAUGAUGACGGUACCCGCAGAAUAAGCCCCGGCUAACUUCGUG